UGGGGAAUUUUGGACAAUGGGCGAAAGCCUGAUCCAGCAAUGCCGCGUGUGUGAAGAAGGCCUUCGGGUUGUAAAGCACUUUUGUCCGGAAAGAAAUCCUUGGCUCUAAUACAGUCGGGGGAUGACGGUACCGGAAGAAUAAGCACCGGCUAACUACGUGCCAGCAGCCGCGGUAAUACGUAGGGUGCAAGCGUUAAUCGGAAUUACUGGGCGUAAAGCGUGCGCAGGCGGUUUGCUAAGACCGAUGUGAAAUCCCCGGGCUCAACCUGGGAACUGCAUUGGUGACUGGCAGGCUAGAGUAUGGCAGAGGGGGGUAGAAUUCCACGUGUAGCAGUGAAAUGCGUAGAGAUGUGGAGGAAUACCGAUGGCGAAGGCAGCCCCCUGGGCCAAUACUGACGCUCAUGCACGAAAGCGUGGGGAGCAAACAGGAUUAGAUACCCUGGUAGUCCACGCCCUAAACGAUGUUAACUAGUUGUUGGGGAUUCAUUUCCUUAGUAACGUAGCUAACGCGUGAAGUUGACCGCCUGGGGAGUACGGUCGCAAGAUUAAAACUCAAAGGAAUUGACGGAGUCAUAGCUGUUUCCU
RNAcentral lists this ribosomal RNA (585 nucleotides) under uncultured bacterium. RNAcentral describes it as "partial 16S ribosomal RNA". It matches the Rfam family "Bacterial small subunit ribosomal RNA", at positions 355 to 938 of the family's 1533-position model. The record is from RNAcentral.